AGAGUUUGAUCCUGGCUCAGAACGAACGCUGGCGGCGUGCCUAACACAUGCAAGUCGUGCGAGAAAAGGAACUUCGGUUCCCGAGUAAAGCGGCGCACGGGUGAGUAGCGCGUGGGUAAGCUACCUCCGAGACCGGGACAACCUGGCGAAAGCCGGGCUAAUACCGGAUAAGCCCACAGGGGCUGCGGCCCCUGGGGGAAAAGGGUGCCCUCUCCAUGGAAGGUACCGCUCGAAGAUGCGCCCGCGUCCGAUUAGCUUGUUGGUGAGGUAACGGCUCACCAAGGCUUAGAUCGGUAGCUGGUCUAAGAGGACGAUCAGCCACACUGGGACUGAGACACGGCCCAGACUCCUACGGGAGGCAGCAGUGGGGAAUAUUGCGCAAUGGGGGAAACCCUGACGCAGCAACGCCGCGUGGGUGAUGAAGGCCUUCGGGUCGUAAAGCCUUGUCAGGUGGGACGAAUGGCCGCGGGUGAAUAAUCCGUUGGCUUUGACGGUACCGCCAAAGGAAGCACCGGCUAACUCCGUGCCAGCAGCCGCGGUAAUACGGAGGGUGCAAGCGUUGUUCGGAAUUACUGGGCGUAAAGAGCUUGUAGGCGGCCUGUUAAGUCUGAUGUGAAAGCCCUCGGCUCAACCGAGGAAGUGCAUUGGAUACUGGCAGGCUUGAGUAUGGGAGAGGAGAGCGGAAUUCCCGGUGUAGAGGUGAAAUUCGUA
This 711-nucleotide ribosomal RNA is filed under the name uncultured deep-sea bacterium. Its description in RNAcentral is "bacterial SSU rRNA". It matches the Rfam family "Bacterial small subunit ribosomal RNA", at positions 8 to 692 of the family's 1533-position model. The record is from RNAcentral.